CAGUCGCCGCGGUAAAACGAAGGGGGCUAGCGUUGUUCGGAAUUACUGGGCGUAAAGCGCACGUAGGCGGAUAUUUAAGUCAGGGGUGAAAUCCCGCAGCUCAACUGCGGAACUGCCUUUGAUACUGGGUAUCUUGAGUAUGGAAGAGGUUAGUGGAAUUGCGAGUGUAGAGGUGAAAUUCGUAGAUAUUCGCAGGAACACCAGUGGCGAAGGCGGCUAACUGGUCCAUAACUGACGCUGAGGUGCGAAAGCGUGGGGAGCAAACAGGAUUAGAUACCCCAGUAGUCCCUGUCUCUUAUAC
RNAcentral lists this ribosomal RNA (301 nucleotides) under uncultured bacterium. RNAcentral's name for it is "partial 16S ribosomal RNA". It matches the Rfam family "Bacterial small subunit ribosomal RNA", at positions 509 to 807 of the family's 1533-position model. The record is from RNAcentral.